AAGCCCCGUCUGGAGAGAACGGUUGAUAAAGCCAGAAAGCCGUGGGAAAAGCGCUGUAAUCCCUUGCGACUUUGAUGACUUCGGAAACACAGCCAGACUCUGCCGUACAGGCAAACCGUCUAACCCAAUGGGCAAGUGCAUUCGAAGCCUCUUGGAAACGAAUCCAGAUCUGAAUGGAAAAACACACACUCUCAAUGUUCC
This is a long non-coding RNA of Ixodes scapularis (black-legged tick), 201 nucleotides long. RefSeq lists it as uncharacterized. The transcript is spliced from 3 exons. The record is from RefSeq and is a predicted model, not a curated record. NCBI's taxonomy places the organism in Eukaryota, Metazoa, Arthropoda, Arachnida, Ixodida, Ixodidae.